This is a long non-coding RNA of Actinia tenebrosa (Australian red waratah sea anemone), 1356 nucleotides long. The record is from RefSeq and is a predicted model, not a curated record. NCBI's taxonomy places the organism in Eukaryota, Metazoa, Cnidaria, Anthozoa, Actiniaria, Actiniidae.
GGCUGGUAAGCUGAGGGGAAAAAGAAGACUUUUUUUGAAACAUAAAUUAUACAUUUUUUUGCAAUGUUUUUGGAAGGUAUGAAUUGGAUAUUGCAUAAUAUGGCACUUUUAACCACUGCAUACAACUAGCACACAUAUUCUAACAUCUUUCGUUCACCAUUUAAUAUAAUUACAUGGACAACACAUAGCUCAACUUACUUGUUUGUUGCACUAGAAUGGCCUGCAAGAAGUUGACAGCAUCAUAACACUUGGACUUAUCUGUAAUGGCUGACAAGCUGAAAAUAGGAUGAGAUAACAAUUUAGGAACAGGGCUUGAAAAUAACGGCCAGACGUCAGACAAUGUCCGGCCAGAACGGGACUUGUCCAGUCAAAUAUAAUUGCCUCACAAGUCGUUUUGACCAGUAAGGUUUGCCAGAAUGAGGUAUGACUGAGCUAUUUACUUCAAUAUCCAUAUAGCAACAAGGUGAGUCCACAUUCUUAUGAAGGUCACAGGGUCAUCACCAGGUUACCACAUCAUUAAUUAGGUCAAUACUCAUAAAUUAACAAGGUGAGUCCAUAUUGCUAUCAAAGUCUUUUUCUUUUGUUUUAAUGCAGUUAAUCCAUUAUUACAAGAUAGAUAYUGGACUAUUCCAUGAUAAGCUUGCUGGUUGGUGUGUAUAUAUAUUGGCUAUCAGCCUCAGAUGUCAGGUAUGAACAGCCGCCAUCUUGUUCAAGCUCACUGGAAAGUUUUAUGGAGUAUUUUUCGUGUAAUCAGUAUUUCUAUAGCUGCAAUACAAAAACAUAAGUCAUUGAGACAUUAAUAUUUCGGAUUUUGGUGGUUCUAAUGAGGUAGGAAUGUCUUGAAACUUACACGAACCAAGUUCCGUGUAACAUUCAAACCCAAAGUUUCAAAAAAUGUUAAAAUAUGAAAAUAUUCUUAAGGUAAGUUUACAUACUGUUUGAAAACUUCAUGAAACAUUGUUAUUUGUUAUCAAUUUUAUCAUUUCUUUUCAGAAAAGGUGGAUUUUUCAGGUUUCAAAGUUAGCACGUGUCAUGGCGGACGAAGCCGAUGAAACGAACAUUCGAAGUUUUUUAAACUGGUCAAAAAUACAGAAAAACGAAAGAAAAACGCAGAAAAAACGAAAUAACUCUUACCUUUCAUAGUUCUCGUGUGCUUCUCUCUCUGUUAGGUCAAGCACGAGCUAAUAACCAUCUUUGUUCUUGUACAAUUUCAGCCUAAAAGCCCAUCGUGUUUUGCACCCGUUGAAACACAUCCACAACGAACAGCAGCGUGCAACAAAUGAAGAGGUGACAUGCACAGGGACUGGAUACUAGCAUUUUACACAGGGAUCCCGCAAAAACCGGACUUUUUGGCGA